This 406-nucleotide ribosomal RNA is filed under the name uncultured bacterium. RNAcentral describes it as "bacterial SSU rRNA". It matches the Rfam family "Bacterial small subunit ribosomal RNA", at positions 33 to 483 of the family's 1533-position model. The record is from RNAcentral.
UACGCUGGCGGCACGCCUAACACAUGCAAGUCGAACGAAGUAGCAAUACUUAGUGGCAGACGGGUGAGUAACAUGUGGGUAUCUACCCUUUGGCCUGGAAUAACACGAGGAAACUUGUGCUAAUACCGGAUAAGUCUUUACGGAGAAAGCUUUAUGCACCAUUGGAUGAGCCCGCACUUGAUUAGUUUGUUGGUAGGGUAAUGGCCUACCAAGACUAUGAUCAAUAGCUGAUUUGAGAGGAUGAUCAGCCACAUUGGGACUGAGACACGGCCCAAACUCCUACGGGAGGCAGCAGUGGGGAAUCUUGCACAAUGGAGGAAACUCUGAUGCAGCGAUGCCGCGUGAGUGAAGAAGGCCUUUGGGUUGUAAAGCUCUUUCGUCGGGGAAGAAAAUGACUGUACCCGAA